This 76-nucleotide ribosomal RNA is filed under the name uncultured bacterium. RNAcentral describes it as "partial 16S ribosomal RNA". The record is from RNAcentral.
UCACGAAGUGGAAUUCGUACGUACGAAACGUCCUAAAGUCGAAACAGGCCCAAGGUAUGACGUCAUGAUUGGGGUG